AUCCCAUGUCUGAAAGGAAACACUUGCAAUCUCCUUCCCCAGCGAUUUCUGUUGAAUAAUGCUAUUGGGAAUGGGCGGUUGGCUCCGCUUUUUGAGAUGGCAGCUCCUUAUUUCUUUUCAAUUACCCAUCAAUAAUCAUAUCCUCUUGGCUGACACAGCCAUGCCUACUCCCUCUCCCAUUACCCUUUGAAAUAUGGUUGGUUGUUUGCUUUCAGAUUGAGAAAGUUGUCAACGUCAGAUUCUCCUAUCUAUAUCUGCAGGGGUCAAUUCGCUCGGGGCUUUAUAUACAACACAUGCAUUGGAAAAGGCAGAGUAUUAAGAUCAUUCAUUUUAUUACGACUUUCACAUGUCAUGUCCUUCCUGCCAACUUCAUUAGGAUAGGGAGAAGUCAAUGAUGUGGAUAGA
RNAcentral lists this small RNA (405 nucleotides) under Histoplasma ohiense. RNAcentral describes it as "hypothetical lncRNA". The record is from RNAcentral. Lineage: Eukaryota; Fungi; Ascomycota; Eurotiomycetes; Onygenales; Ajellomycetaceae.